This 475-nucleotide ribosomal RNA is filed under the name uncultured bacterium. RNAcentral describes it as "bacterial SSU rRNA". It matches the Rfam family "Bacterial small subunit ribosomal RNA", at positions 8 to 510 of the family's 1533-position model. The record is from RNAcentral.
AGAGUUUGAUCCUGGCUCAGGACUAACGCUGGCGGCGUGCCUAACACAUGCAAGUCGAACGAAGCAGCAAUGCUUAGUGGCAGACGGGUGAGUAACGCGUAGAUAAUGUGCCCUCUUGCGGGGGAUACCGUUUCGAAAGGAACGUUAAUACCGCAUAAAGUCCCAGAGAGGCAUCUCUCAGGGACCAAACUUCCGGGGCGGGAGGAGCAAUCUGCGUACUAUCAGGUAGUUGGUGAGGUAAUGGCUCACCAAGCCUACGACGGUUAACUGGUCUGAGAGGAUGAUCAGUCACACUGGAACUGAGACACGGUCCAGACUCCUACGGGAGGCAGCAGUGAGGAAUAUUGCGCAAUGGGCGAAAGCCUGACGCAGCGACGCCGCGUGGAGGAUGACGGAUUUCGGUCUGUAAACUCCUGUCAGUAGGGAAGAGAAUGGACGGUACCUACUGAGGAAGCUUUCGGCUAACUACGUGCCA